UUCAAGAAGCAUAUUCUGCUUCCAUACUCUGCUGGAAUUCUGUCACCACCAUUUUGCUAAGUUAGGACUAGCCUGCUGGAAGAUUAAGAGACCAUGUAAGGAAAUUCAGUAGUUCCAGAAACUGUUUUUGACCAGCUGAUAGCCAGCUGACUUACAGCUGCCUACACCAAUCUACGACUGACCACAGAGAUGUGGGUGACAUCAAGGCAGAGAAGACAUCUUGCUUAACAUUUUGGAUUCAAGGGAAUGAGGUACACUACUAGUCUGUGAUCCCAUACCUCACAUAAAAUAAAAAUUUAACUCAGAAUAAAACAUAGACCUAAAUGUAAGAGCUAAAACUAUGAAACAUCUCUAAAAACUAGAAGAAAAUCUUCAUUGUUUUGAGUUAGGCAAAGAUUUCUUAGGUCACAGAAGGCACAAACCAUUAAAGAAAAUAUUGGUAUAUUUAUUUAACUUCAUGAAAAUGUAAAAACUUCUCAAAGACAUCGUUAACAGAAAUAAACGGACAAGUCACAGACUGGGAGAUAAUAUUUGCAAAGCACCUAACUUCUGAAGACUUGUAUCCAGAAUACAUAAAGAACUAUUGUGACUAAAGGAUACAAAAAAAAAAAAAUUAAAGAGGAGCAAAGAUUUGAACAGACACCGUACCAAAGAAGUGAUACAGCUGGCAAAUAAGGACAUGAAAAGAUACUAAAUAUCAUUAGUCAUUUGGUAAAUCAAAACCAAAACCACAGUGAGAUACCACUACAUUUCAACUUGAAUGGCUAAAAUCAAAGACAGGCAAUACCAAGUUCUGGGAGAAUGUGCAAGUGCAAAAUGGUAUAGACACUUGGGAAAACAGUUGGGUAAUUUCUUGAAACUUUACACAUACUCCUACUAUAUAAUUCAGUCAUUCUGCUCCUAGAUAUUUACAUAUAUGACUACACAAAAUUCUGUAAGUAAAUGCUUACAGCAGCUUUAUUCAUAAUAACCAACAAGCGAAUACAACACAAAUAUCCAUUAACUGAUGAAGAAUAAAGAAAUUGUGAUAUAUCCAUACAAUGGAAUAAUAUUCUGCAAUAAAAAAAUAAACUACUGAUACAAGCAACAACAUGAAUGAAUGUCAAAAGCAUUAUGCCAGUGAAAGAAGACAGACACAAAAGGCUAUAUAUUGUAUGAUCCCUUUUAUGAUAUCCUGGAAAAGGCAAAACUGUGAGGCACAAAGCAGAUAAGGAGAUGCCACGGGAUGGUAGAGAUGAAGAUAUUGACUUCCAAGGUGCCAUAUAAGGGAAUUUGGAGGGAUGGUAGAAAUCUGUAUCUUGAUAAUGAGGCUGGUUACAUGACUAUAAACGUUGAAAACUCAAUGUUCAUGCUAAAAAGAAAAUUAGUCGAGAGUAAAAGAGAAUUGGGCAGCUUAAAAGAGAAUUUGUAAAGUAGAAGAUUGUUCUGAACCAAGAAUAACAAUGCAGCAUAUGGAGUUUCACAGAUAGAAAAUUUCAAAAAGCAGUUAACAGAUAAUUAGGGUAACAGAUAAUAGUCUAACAUAUAGUCAAUAGGGAUUCCGAAAGGAAAGACUUAGAGAAUGUUGAAAGAAAAUUACUAUCAAAUAGCUAAAUUAUCAUUCAAAUGCACUAGAAAAAUACAUUUUCAAUGAAAUAAAAAAUUAAGUAAUUUAUCCCUAAUAGAUCACCCUAAGAAUACUAAAGGAAGAAAACUGAACCAGAAGAAAGGAGUGAAAUGCAAAAUAAUAAUAAUAAUAUCAGGCAUAGAAGUUGGUAAGCAUGUGAGUAAGUCUAAAUAAUAAUCUACUAUAUAAAAUAAUUACUAUUUUGGCAGUGUAAAGCAUGAUAGAAACAAAAUACUAGACUAUAGUCACAUGUAAAAUGGAAGUAAAGUAAAUAAUCCAAGUGAAAGCAUUUAAAUAUUCUUUCAUUUUUGGGAAGAGGCUAGAGACAUUUUCGAUUUUAUUCAUUCAGAUACGCUUCUUCAGCUUUCACUGACAGUACAGAAAAAGAGUAUAUACAUAUCAAAUAAGUAGAAGAACAAAAGCAAAUUAAAGCCUAAUCAAUCCACUGGUUGUUACAGGGGUUGAGGGAAAGGAGGCUCUCCCCAAGUCUCCAUUCUCCAGUGCUCCCUUAAGAACAGUUACGAGUAACCAUAGGCUUAGAGGGCCACAUUCUGUAGUCGCCAUUAUUAGUUAGCCAGGGGCUAAAUUCUUGCUGGUAAAAAGUAAGCAGUAGUUGUCGGAUGGGAAUUCCAAGGAAGCUCUUUAAAUCACUGUCCAACAGAAAUAUAAAGUGAGCCACACAUGAAAACUUGAUAUGUAAUUUAAUUUUUUCUAGUAGCUGCCUUAAAAAAGUAGGAAGAGACAGGUUAAUUUUUUUAAUUUAAUUUUAGAGAUAGGGUCUUGUUCUGUCACCUAGGCUCAAGUGCAGUGGCGCUAUCAUAGCUCACUGCAGCCUUGAAAUCCUAGCCUCAAGCAAUCCUCCUGCCUCAAUCUUCCAAAGUGCUGGGAUUACAGGCUUGAGUCACCAUGCCUGGGCUAUUAAUUUGAAUAAUGUACUUUAUAUAAACCAAUAUAUCCAAAAUAUUAUUUCAACAUGAAAUCAAUAUAAUAAAUGGUUAACUUCCAUAUUUUUUGUAUGAAAUCUUGAAAUUCUGGUGUGCAUUUUACACUUUCAGCACAUUUCAGUUCAGGCUAUGCCCAUUUCAAAUGCUCAAUAGCCACAUACAGCUGGUGGCUAUCAUAUUAGGGAGCAGAGUUUUAAAUGGACAAGUAUUUUGUGUUCUCCUGCCUGUCUUCUUUUUCUGAAAUGCAAUACAUUUGUGUUGGCUGGAACUUCAGCAACUCUCCUAGACUCUGAGUUUCCUUGAGGUCAGAAGCUAUGGAAGCUGAAUUCUGGAUGCCUUUGUAAUCCACUUAGCAGCCACAGGCUGCCAAAGUCUGGAUUUCUUUUACAUGGCUAUAAUAAUAUCAGACAAUACAAACUAUGCCAAAAGUCAUUCAUAGUGAUGAAAAGGGCCAAUAGAUAAUAACAGGAAGAUAGGGAGACAGUACAGUAUAUUGGUAAAGGGCAUGUUUUUAGGAACCAUAAUAUCUAGGUACAAAUCCUGAUGUCUCCAGGUACUGAGAACUUGAAUAAGUUAUUUAAGCUCUCCAAACUUUUCCUCAACCAUAAAAUUGGGAUAGUAACACCUCUCUCAGAGUUAUUGUAAUGACUAAGUUAAUGUAUGUAACAUAUUUAGAUUAUGUGAGUUGCACAGUAAUUACUUUGUAAGAGUCAGCUCUUGUUAAAUCUUUAGGAAAAUAUAAUAAUUCUAAACUUGUAAACACUUAACAAUGUAAACUUCAAAUAUAUAAAGCAAAAUUGGCAAGAUCAUGCAGAGUGGUUGAUAAAUCCACACUCCUAGUUCAAGAGUUUGAUACUUCUCCCAGUGACUGACAAAUAGAGCAGACAAAGAACAAAAAAAAGUGAAUAAAUAAAUGUGAUUAGUGUGCCUUUGACAAGCUUUAAAUUUGGUGGCCUUCAAAUUUUAAACUGGGCUGCUUGACAGCUAUCACAAAUAUGAAAACAUAUCAGUUAGGAUAAUUUUUAUUACUGGGAAAAAAGAACACUAUUUUCUUAGGUUUACUAUGCUACUUAUAUUUGAGGAAUUAUGAAACAUCUAUGUGCUCAAUUUUUUAGUUUCCUCCCAUUCUAU
This 3681-nucleotide long non-coding RNA is filed under the name Homo sapiens (human). RNAcentral's name for it is "HSALNT0146829". The record is from RNAcentral. Lineage: Eukaryota; Metazoa; Chordata; Mammalia; Primates; Hominidae.